UACGUAGGGCGCAAGCGUUAUCCGGAAUUAUUGGGCGUAAAGAGCUCGUAGGCGGUUUGUCGCGUCUGCUGUGAAAUCCCGAGGCUCAACCUCGGGCCUGCAGUGGGUACGGGCAGACUAGAGUGCGGUAGGGGAGAUUGGAAUUCCUGGUGUAGCGGUGGAAUGCGCAGAUAUCAGGAGGAACACCGAUGGCGAAGGCAGAUCUCUGGGCCGUAACUGACGCUGAGGAGCGAAAGGGUGGGGAGCAAACAGGCUUAGAUACCCUGGUAGUCCACCCCGUAAACGUUGGGAACUAGUUGUGGGGUCCAUUCCACGGAUUCCGUGACGCAGCUAACGCAUUAAGUUCCCCGCCUGGGGAGUACGGCCGCAAGAUUAAA
RNAcentral lists this ribosomal RNA (377 nucleotides) under uncultured Microbacterium sp. RNAcentral's name for it is "bacterial SSU rRNA". It matches the Rfam family "Bacterial small subunit ribosomal RNA", at positions 524 to 898 of the family's 1533-position model. The record is from RNAcentral. Lineage: Bacteria; Bacillati; Actinomycetota; Actinomycetes; Micrococcales; Microbacteriaceae.